AUUGAAAACUUUAUUACAUGUGUUGACACAUUUUCUUAAAAAUUUAUUUAAUUUUGAAUUUUGAAAUAUCGAAAAAAAAGAAACGAAGCAUUGAAAGAAAAAAAAGAAACGAAGCAUUGUACCUUACAAAAAUAUCAAUAACCAGAAAAUCCGUGAAAGACAAGAAAAGUGGAAGAACAAAGUUCUGAUCUAGAAUGAGGAUACAACAUUUGAGUCUUCAGACCUAAGGUUACCGCAAUUCGCCACAUUCCUUCCUUUUUAUACCCUACACCACAUAAUGCAUAACAACAAAUUUGAUCUGUUUCACCUCGUGGUCUCGUAUGGUCUAAAGCAUCCCUAGAGUUCUUCAAACCAAAAAAUUAUUAGACAACUUUGCAAUAUAUAAAUAUGACCAGAAUUUUUAAUCCCCACACACGCAAACCCACCAUCGAGGAUCACUUUACGGCCAGAGAAUUUGUUUUCUUGCCGAGUAUGAGAACUAACUAACAAAACUUUAUGAAAAGUGAAUAAACACUUUUGGUGUUUGCGUUUGGGUGUGUGUGUGUGUGUUCAGUGACCGACUGUUGGCCAAGCCUGGCUAUGCGUGUGUGUGUGUGUGAGCGCGUCUCAAAAUCAAGUGCUUGAGAACAAAUCUGAUUGUAGAGGCUGCUACUGCUGCUGCUAGCAUUUUUGGGCGAUAUGUUUGUGAUAUGGCUUUGUUCUUAAUUGUGUCCAUAAUGUACGAUUGUAGGUUUCUAUUAUACACACACAUAUACAUUUAUUUAAGGAAUGUUCAUUUCCAUGCCCGAUUCAGUUCUUUGUUGAUUUUCUAGAAAAAAAAUAAGCUAAAUAUACACAGACACACGCUCACUUAAAAUUAUACAACAAAACGGAAUAGUUGCAAUGGUUGAUGGUGCCAAAGCAACAGUCGGAUAUGAGUUAUUUCAUAAAUGUUGUUAAAAGAUUAAAUUAUGUUUGGUUUCGAUUUAUAAAACCAGUAAGGAAGGGUCAAAGUCGGGGGGUUGGUCCGACUAUAUGAUACCCUGCACCACUAUGCGUAUUUAGUAGAGCUCCCGUAACAAAAAAGUGUAUAUUGGAAAUUUAUGUGAGGUAGAUCAUACCAACUAUAAACCUUAUUGGA
Molecule: long non-coding RNA, 1120 nt
Organism: Musca domestica (house fly)
Lineage: Eukaryota; Metazoa; Arthropoda; Insecta; Diptera; Muscidae
Exons: 3
Source: RefSeq, a predicted model, not a curated record